This 778-nucleotide ribosomal RNA is filed under the name uncultured Neocallimastigales. Its description in RNAcentral is "partial large subunit ribosomal RNA". It matches the Rfam family "Eukaryotic large subunit ribosomal RNA", at positions 22 to 639 of the family's 3401-position model. The record is from RNAcentral. Lineage: Eukaryota; Fungi; Neocallimastigomycota; Neocallimastigomycetes; Neocallimastigales.
AUAUCAGUCAUGCAUAGCAUAUCAAUAAGCGGAGGAAAAGUAAACUAACAAGGAUUCCCCUAGUAACGGCGAGUGAAGCGGGAAGGAGCUCAAAUUUGAAAUCUUAAAGGGUUUCCCUUUACGAAUUGUAGUUUAAAGAAGUGUUUUCUGUUGAGGUUUUGGUAAAAGUUCUUUGGAAUAGGACAUCAUAGAGGGUGAGAAUCCCGUAUUUGACCUUUACUUUCAACUUUGUGAUACACUUUCAAAGAGUCGGAUUGUUUGGGAAGUGCAGUCCAAAAUGGGUGGUAAAUUUCAUCUAAAGCUAAAUAUUGGCGAGAGACCGAUAGCGAACAAGUACCGUGAGGGAAAGAUGAAAAGAACUUUCGAAAAGAGAGUUAAACAGUACGUGAAAUUGUCAAAAGGGAAGCGUUUGACACCAGUGUUGUUUUUCUGAAAAUCAAUUAAAGAACUGUUUAUGCUAAGUUGUUUAGACUUUAUCAGCUAACUGUUUAGUUUUGAGCUUUUCUUUAAUGCACUUUUCAGUUAACAAGUCAACAUCAAUUUCUUUUGCUGUAAAAAAGCUUGAGGAAGGUGGCUUGAGAUUCGUCUUAAGUGUUUAUAGCCUCUUGCCUAUGCAGUCGGAGAGAUUGAGGUCUGCAGCGUAGAUCCUUCGGGGCUAAAUGCAUUUGUGCUAAGUUAUAGCAUUUUAUAGACAACUUGUUGACUAUGAUUUGUCUUGUAGCUUACUCGCUUAUGUUAUUUUACCUACGCUUAGGAUGUUGACGCGCGUGUGUGCGUG